RNAcentral lists this ribosomal RNA (465 nucleotides) under Vreelandella stevensii. Its description in RNAcentral is "partial 16S ribosomal RNA". It matches the Rfam family "Bacterial small subunit ribosomal RNA", at positions 338 to 795 of the family's 1533-position model. The record is from RNAcentral. Lineage: Bacteria; Pseudomonadati; Pseudomonadota; Gammaproteobacteria; Oceanospirillales; Halomonadaceae.
CCUACGGGUGGCAGCAGUGGGGAAUAUUGGACAAUGGGCGAAAGCCUGAUCCAGCCAUGCCGCGUGUGUGAAGAAGGCCUUCGGGUUGUAAAGCACUUUCAGUGGGGAAGAAAGCCUUGGGGCUAAUACCCUCGAGGAAGGACAUCACCCACAGAAGAAGCACCGGCUAACUCCGUGCCAGCAGCCGCGGUAAUACGGAGGGUGCGAGCGUUAAUCGGAAUUACUGGGCGUAAAGCGCGCGUAGGCGGUCUGAUAAGCCGGUUGUGAAAGCCCCGGGCUCAACCUGGGAACGGCAUCCGGAACUGUCAGGCUAGAGUGCAGGAGAGGAUGGUAGAAUUCCCGGUGUAGCGGUGAAAUGCGUAGAGAUCGGGAGGAAUACCAGUGGCGAAGGCGGCCUUCUGGACUGACACUGACGCUGAGGUGCGAAAGCGUGGGUAGCAAACAGGAUUAGAUACCCGAGUAGUC